RNAcentral lists this ribosomal RNA (652 nucleotides) under Burkholderia sp. Ms118. RNAcentral describes it as "bacterial SSU rRNA". It matches the Rfam family "Bacterial small subunit ribosomal RNA", at positions 77 to 727 of the family's 1533-position model. Lineage: Bacteria; Pseudomonadati; Pseudomonadota; Betaproteobacteria; Burkholderiales; Burkholderiaceae. The record is from RNAcentral.
GAGCAUCCUGGCGGCGAGUGGCGAACGGGUGAGUAAUACAUCGGAACGUGUCCUGUAGUGGGGGAUAGCCCGGCGAAAGCCGGAUUAAUACCGCAUACGAUCUACGGAUGAAAGCGGGGGAUCGCAAGACCUCGCGCUAUAGGGGCGGCCGAUGGCGGAUUAGCUAGUUGGUGGGGUAAAGGCCCACCAAGGCGACGAUCCGUAGCUGGUCUGAGAGGACGACCAGCCACACUGGGACUGAGACACGGCCCAGACUCCUACGGGAGGCAGCAGUGGGGAAUUUUGGACAAUGGGCGCAAGCCUGAUCCAGCAAUGCCGCGUGUGUGAAGAAGGCCUUCGGGUUGUAAAGCACUUUUGUCCGGAAAGAAAUCCUCUGGGUUAAUACCCCGGGGGGAUGACGGUACCGGAAGAAUAAGCACCGGCUAACUACGUGCCAGCAGCCGCGGUAAUACGUAGGGUGCGAGCGUUAAUCGGAAUUACUGGGCGUAAAGCGUGCGCAGGCGGUGAUGUAAGACCGAUGUGAAAUCCCCGGGCUUAACCUGGGAACUGCAUUGGUGACUGCAUCGCUGGAGUAUGGCAGAGGGGGGUAGAAUCCACGUGUAGCAGUGAAAUGCGUAGAGAUGUGGAGGAAUACCGAUGGCGAAGGCAGCCC